GCCAAUCUAUCUAUCACUGCUAAUCUAUCACUGCUGUCAAUCUAUCUACUGCUGUCAAUCUAUCUAUUGCUGCCAAUCUAUCUAUCACUGCUAAUCUAUCACUGCUAAUCUAUCGCUGCUAAUCUAUUACUGCUAAUCUAUCUAUCACUGCUAAUCUAUUACUGCCAAUCUAUCUACUGCUGCCAAUCUAUCUACCACUGCCAAUCUAUCUACUGCUGCCAAUCUAUCUAUCACUGCUAAUCUAUCACUGCUAAUCUAUCACUGCUAAUCUAUUGCUGCUAAUCUAUCACUACUAAUCUAUUGCUGCUAAUCUAUCUAUCACUGCUAAUCUAUCACUGUCAAUCUAUCUACCACUGUCAAUCUAUCUACCACUGUCAACCUACCUACCACUGCUAAUCUAUCACUGCUAAUCUAUCACUGCCAAUCUAUAUAGAGUAAAUCAUGGUCCCAUUUGAUUCCAUUUUGUAAAAUAGAAUUAAAUGAAACUGAGAUCACUAAUUUAUUAGUAAAACAUAAUCUGAGACUAGAUUUAUAAUAUAAACAGUGUAAAGUGACUAAUUUACUAAACACUAUAUGGGAUCAGAACUAAGAUAUCUAAUAAUGAAACUGAGGAAAAAUUUGAUCUCAGUCUCAUGCAUGAUCACACAGCC
RNAcentral lists this small RNA (650 nucleotides) under Histoplasma capsulatum. RNAcentral's name for it is "hypothetical RNA". Lineage: Eukaryota; Fungi; Ascomycota; Eurotiomycetes; Onygenales; Ajellomycetaceae. The record is from RNAcentral. RNAcentral also lists the same sequence under 1 other name.